RNAcentral lists this transfer RNA (66 nucleotides) under Scapholeberis mucronata. RNAcentral's name for it is "tRNA-His". The record is from RNAcentral. Lineage: Eukaryota; Metazoa; Arthropoda; Branchiopoda; Diplostraca; Daphniidae.
AUCGGAGUAGUUUAAAAAAAACCUGAGUUUGUGGGACUCAAAUUAUGUCAUUGUGCAUUUCUGAUC